Stegodyphus mimosarum is the source of this 73-nucleotide non-coding RNA. The record is from Rfam. NCBI's taxonomy places the organism in Eukaryota, Metazoa, Arthropoda, Arachnida, Araneae, Eresidae.
GCUUUCGUGGUGUAGUGGUCAGCACGCUCGACGCGUAACCGAGAGGUCCGUGGUUCGAUUCCUGGCGAAGAUG